AUGGCCGGCGCUGCACAGGGCAAGCAGAGUAGAGAGGCCCAUGGUAACAACGAUAUCGGCGUCGCCAAGGACUACCUCGACCCUCCGGCGGUGCGGCUGUUCGACGCCAGCGAGCUUGGCCAGUGGUCCCUGUACCGCGCCAUCAUCGCCGAGUUCAUGGCCAGUCUGCUCUUCGUCUACGUCUCCGUCGCCACCGUGAUCGGCCACAAGCGGCAGACGGACGCGGAAGCGUGCAGCGGCGCCGGCGUGCUGGGCAUCGCGUGGGCCUUCGGCGGCAUGAUCGCCGUCCUCGUCUACUGCACCGCCGGCAUCUCCGGCGGCCACGUCAACCCCGCCGUGACGUUCGGGCUGCUGCUGGCGAGGAAGCUGUCGCUCCCCCGCGCCUUCCUCUACACGUCGGCGCAGUGCCUCGGCGCCAUCUGCGGCGCGGCGAUGGUCAGGGCCGUGCACGGCGCGCGGUACUACGAGCUCUACGGCGGCGGCGCCAACGAGGUCGCGCCGGGGUACUCCAAGGCGGGGGGGCUGCUGGCCGAGGCGGCCGGCACCUUCGUCCUCGUGUACACCGUGUUCUCGGCCACCGACCCGAAGCGCAUGGCGCGGGACACCCACGUGCCGGUGCUGGCGCCGCUGCUCAUCGGGUUCGCGGUGGUGGUGGCGCACCUGGCCACCAUCCCCGUCACCGGCACCGGGAUCAACCCGGCGAGGAGCCUGGGUGCCGCCGUGGUGUACAACAACAGCAAGGCGUGGAGCGAGCAGUGGAUCUUCUGGGUCGGGCCGUUCUCCGGCGCCGCCGUGGCCAUGGCGUACCACCAGUACAUCCUCAGGGGCGGUGCCGCCGCCAAGCCACACUUCAACUUCGACAAUGGAUUCCGACGCCUCGGCUGUUGA
RNAcentral lists this ribosomal RNA (888 nucleotides) under Triticum aestivum (bread wheat). RNAcentral describes it as "partial small subunit ribosomal RNA". The record is from RNAcentral. Lineage: Eukaryota; Viridiplantae; Streptophyta; Magnoliopsida; Poales; Poaceae.